UAAGGAAUAUUGGCCAAUGGACGCAAGUCUGAACCAGCCAUGCCGCGUGCAGGAUGACGGCCUUAUGGGUUGUAAACUGCUUUUGUCAGGGAAUAAACCCUUGUUUGCGAACAAGGCUGAAGGUACCUGAAGAAUAAGCAUCGGCUAACUCCGUGCCAGCAGCCGCGGUAAUACGGAGGAUGCAAGCGUUAUCCGGAUUCAUUGGGUUUAAAGGGUGCGCAGGCGGACUGAUAAGUCAGUGGUGAAAUCCUACGGCUCAACCGUGGCACUGCCAUUGAUACUGUCAGUCUUGAGUAUAGUUGAAGUGGGCGGAAUGUAGCAUGUAGCGGUGAAAUGCAUAGAUAUGCUACAGAACACCAAUAGCGAAGGCAGCUCACUAAGUUAUAACUGACGCUCAUGCACGAAAGCGUGGGGAUCAAACAGGAUUAGAUACCCUGGUAGUCCACGCUGUAAACGAUGAUCACUCGUUGUUGGCAAUACAUCGUCAGCGACUAAGCGAAAGUGAUAAGUGACCCACCUGGGGAGUACGGUCGCAAGAUUG
RNAcentral lists this ribosomal RNA (541 nucleotides) under uncultured bacterium. Its description in RNAcentral is "bacterial SSU rRNA". It matches the Rfam family "Bacterial small subunit ribosomal RNA", at positions 355 to 896 of the family's 1533-position model. The record is from RNAcentral.